This 253-nucleotide ribosomal RNA is filed under the name uncultured bacterium. RNAcentral describes it as "partial 16S ribosomal RNA". It matches the Rfam family "Bacterial small subunit ribosomal RNA", at positions 524 to 776 of the family's 1533-position model. The record is from RNAcentral.
UACGUAGGGUGCGAGCGUUAAUCGGAAUUACUGGGCGUAAAGUGUGCGCAGGCGGCCGAGCAAGUCGAGUGUGAAAGCCCCGAGCUUAACUUGGGAACUGCGCUCGAAACUACUUGGCUAGAGUGUGGCAGAGGGAGGUGGAAUUCCACGUGUAGCGGUGAAAUGCGUAGAGAUCCGGAGGAACACCAGUGGCGAAGGCGACACGCUGGGCCAUACCUGACGCUAAAGCGCGACAGCAUGGGGAGCAAACGGG